AACGAACGCUGGCGGCAUGCCUAACACAUGCAAGUCGAACGAGACCUUCGGGCCUAGUGGCGCGCGGGUGCGCAACGCGUGGGAACCUGCCUUUAUAUUCGGAAUAUCUCAGUGAAAUAUGAGCUAAUACCGGCGGAUGUCUCCGGACCAAAGAUCUAUCGCCUUUAGAUGGUCCCGCGUUGGAUUAUCGAGUUGGUAGGGUACGGGCCUACUAAGGAGACGAGCCAUACCUGGUCUGAGAGGCUGAUCAGCCACACUGGAGCUGAGGCACGGCCCAGACUGGUACGGGACGCAGCAGUAGGGAAUACUGGACGCUGGGCGCAAGCCUGACAAAGCAGUGCCGCGUAAGAGAUGCAGGCCGUAGGGUUGUAAAGCUCGUUUGCACGAGAUGAUAAUGACAGUAUCGGCAGAAUAAGCUCCGGCUAACUACGUG
RNAcentral lists this ribosomal RNA (433 nucleotides) under uncultured bacterium. RNAcentral describes it as "partial 16S ribosomal RNA". It matches the Rfam family "Bacterial small subunit ribosomal RNA", at positions 29 to 507 of the family's 1533-position model. The record is from RNAcentral.